Molecule: long non-coding RNA, 803 nt
Organism: Syzygium oleosum
Lineage: Eukaryota; Viridiplantae; Streptophyta; Magnoliopsida; Myrtales; Myrtaceae
Exons: 2
Source: RefSeq, a predicted model, not a curated record
GGAUGUCAAAAAGACCCGCGCCGGCCCGGCCCGACCCUCGCCGGCCCGGCUCGGCCCUAAAAUUUGGGGUCUUUUGGGGUCGGGUUUUUAUUUUCUUGGAAUAUGGCCCUAAAAUUUGGAGUAUCAAAGGGUUGGGGUUAGAUGGGCCGACCCAUUGACACUCUGGGUCGAUCCAUCUCCCUCUCUCAGUCUCUCUCCCAUUCUCUCUCCCCUUUCUGCGCGCAGAAAAUCGAGAUGAAAAAACCCUAGAUUUAAGCCAGCCGAUCGGCGACAAAAUCGAUCGCCUCCAUCGCCGUUCGCUUUCCUCCAGGUUUCUUCUACAAGCCUCCGCUGUGAAGCCGCCGCAUCUGCGCUUCUUGCUCCAUGCCCGUUGGGGGUGCAAAGCGUUGAUUCACCGAUGAUGCUCGUGCAUAUGCAACCGUCUGCGCGCUGAGGACCGGAUCCGGGGGCGGCAGAGUCCAAUUGUGUCGCCGGCGAAGGAUUUAGCCGAGGAUUUGGCGGAGGACAAGGCGUCCGGAGGAGUGGAGAAGGCUAAUUUGAGUGGGUCAUCAAAUUCCGUCUCUCUCAAGUAGAGGCUGGCGCUGUUCUGAACGGUAAGUUUUUCUGUCAUUCCUUCCCGCGAACAAGCACUGCUGUUGGUCGGAACUUUGCGUAGUCGUCCGAUUACCACUUUUGUUCUUUUGGCCAAAGAGUGAAGUUUCAGUGGGAGUCUGUGUAAAUGGCAUUCUUUCUGUGAAUCUUGCCUUUGCGUUUGGUUUUUGUUUCGACUGGAAGCUGUUGGAAGGUCAUUUGUUUUGAGAUAA